RNAcentral lists this ribosomal RNA (414 nucleotides) under uncultured bacterium. RNAcentral describes it as "partial 16S ribosomal RNA". It matches the Rfam family "Bacterial small subunit ribosomal RNA", at positions 355 to 762 of the family's 1533-position model. The record is from RNAcentral.
UGGGGAAUAUUGCACAAUGGGCGCAAGCCUGAUGCAGCCAUGCCGCGUGUGUGAAGAAGGCCUCGGGUUGUAAAGCACUUUCAGCGAGGAGGAAGGUGGUGGACUUAAUACGUUCAUCAAUUGACGUUACUCGCAGAAGAAGCACCGGCUAACUCCGUGCCAGCAGCCGCGGUAAUACGGAGGGUGCAAGCGUUAAUCGGAAUUACUGGGCGUAAAGCGCACGCAGGCGGUUUGUUAAGUCAGAUGUGAAAUCCCCGGGCUCAACCUGGGAACUGCAUUUGAAAACUGGCAAGCUAGAGUCUCGUAGAGGGGGUAGAAUUCCAGGUGUAGCGGUGAAAUGCGUAGAGAUCUGGAGGAAUACCGGUGGCGAAGGCGGCCCCCUGGACGAAGACUGACGCUCAGGUGCGAAAGCGU